Long non-coding RNA from Tupaia belangeri chinensis (Chinese tree shrew), 849 nucleotides. RefSeq lists it as uncharacterized. The transcript is spliced from 3 exons. NCBI's taxonomy places the organism in Eukaryota, Metazoa, Chordata, Mammalia, Scandentia, Tupaiidae. The record is from RefSeq and is a predicted model, not a curated record.
GUGAAAAGAAAAAUAAGGAAAAUUCGGAAAGGACAAUACUUCAAUAAAGGCAUUGCGAAGAACCCUGAAGCUAAGUAUUUCUAAGUAUUUUCUCAGAGGGCUCACAAGGUGACAACAAUGGAGCCAUGAAAUGAACUCAAGAAAUCUGGUCCCAGGGCCCAUAUUCUUAGCUCCUACAUUAUGUGGCCUCCUGAUGAAAAAAAGAGCCCUCUUGAAAAAAACGCACAGAGAGGACCAGUAGACACAAAAGAAAAUGGAGGAAAUGGAAAGGAGAAGAGUAUUUAUUUUGUGUUAUUGAUGUUCCAGUUACUGCAUUUAGAAUUUUUCAAGAAUUAUCUCCUUGCAACAAUUCUGUGAAGUCAAUACUAUUACCACCUCCAUUUUUCUUGGGAGAAGAGGCUUAGGAAGACAAUGGCAACUUGGUAAAUGACCCACGGCUUGUAAGUGAGAGCUGGGAUCUGAUACCAGUUCUCCUUGACUCUGGAAUCUGAGUCUUAACAUUCACAAUGAACUGAUGAAACUGACUGGCAGGGUAUAAGUACAAAUCACCAGAACUUACAAAUGAUGUCUAAAAGGGCUGCAUCAUUGAGACUUGCAUGCUUUUCCUGAAAGAGAAGAGAAGUUAUUUAGUAACCGUGGUGGUAGGGUUGGUUCGACCCCAUGUGAUGCACAUUUUAGGACUGGUUAGCAUAGACUAUUAGCACAAUAUUAGUGGCUUACUGACAACCCAUUUCCUGACUGUUUUCCCAUUUGCCAACACGUGUACCUUCUGGCUCAGAUCUCAGUCCAGGCACUUGUUAAUUGUUCUCCCACAAUUCGCUCUUCGGUUAUUGCUUUUUUUUAAAAAAA